RNAcentral lists this small nuclear RNA (156 nucleotides) under Otolemur garnettii (small-eared galago). Its description in RNAcentral is "U1 spliceosomal RNA". It matches the Rfam family "U1 spliceosomal RNA". Rfam says of the family: U1 is a small nuclear RNA (snRNA) component of the spliceosome (involved in pre-mRNA splicing). Its 5' end forms complementary base pairs with the 5' splice junction, thus defining the 5' donor site of an intron. Lineage: Eukaryota; Metazoa; Chordata; Mammalia; Primates; Galagidae. The record is from Rfam by way of RNAcentral.
CUGGCAGAGGAGAUACCAUGAUCACAAAGGUGGUUUUCCCAGGGCGAGGCUUAUCCAUUGCACUCAGGAUGUGCUGACCCCUGCAAUUUCCCCAAAUGUGGGAAACGCGACUGCAUAAUUUGUGGUAGUGGGGGACUGCGUUCGUGCUUUCCCCUG